This 7861-nucleotide long non-coding RNA is filed under the name Lactuca sativa (garden lettuce). RNAcentral's name for it is "long non-coding RNA (LSAT_LNC003694)". The record is from RNAcentral. Lineage: Eukaryota; Viridiplantae; Streptophyta; Magnoliopsida; Asterales; Asteraceae.
UCUUUUUCUUUUUUUAUGUGACAUCCCCAAAAUCUCGGCCAGAAAAGACCGAUUUCAUUUAUGCUUUUUAAAACAUUUUCAGAGUAAAUCCGUUUGAUUUUUAAAAGAGAUGCGGAAUUUGUUCCCAAAAACAAAACAUGAUAAAAUAGAUAUUUAUCAAAACAUUUCAUAUAGAAUUAUGAUUUCAUUUCAUAAUCAAAAGUCGGGAUGUCAUGUUCCGAUACAGAUCAUAAAGCAUAAACGAUAUCAUUACAAGUCAUUCAACAAAUAUAUACAUAUGCAGACUUGUAAACAAAAUAACUUAAUGAUUCGCCCAUUCUAAGCUCUUGCGCCACUUCCUGUAAUACAAUUAAACUGAGUGGGGUCAGGCUUGGGAGCCUGGUGAGCAUAUAGGGUUUUCAAACCCACAAUAAUUAUAUUUAAUUUCAUCAAUCAACAAUAAACCCGAUUACCCAUUCUCGUUAUCCUCACCUUACGUUCCUAAAAAUAACGACUAUUAUAAGGAACUUAUUUCAGGAUUUUCAUCGGGACGGACAUUACUGCAGAGGGGCUUCCUCGACAAUAAGUGUCCUAUAGGCAACCAUGUGGGGGAUAGAGUACACCGGUGAACACGUCGUUCACAACACCUACAGGUAAUGAGCCUGCUAGUGUUCCACAGGACAGUCUAGAAUAGUCCGUGGUCGUCAUCCAUACUCUGCUGAAUGACUAGAAUAACACCAAUAACACCGAGGCCUCUCAUCUGUUUAUUUCACACCAAUUAUCUACCCAUGUUCUACCCAACAUAUUAGUAGAUAAAAAUAUACAUUUUUAUACAUUGUUUAAAAACCUGUAUAGCAUGCUUUAAUCAAUACAUAUUCCACAUAACAGAUGAGGCAUACACACAUAACACGUAUUUCAUAGAGAAUAUAUCAGAUCUAUGAGAUAGAAGAGAGUGAAUAUACAUUCACACAUAUAACCACAAAAUAUAUACACGUAGCACGUAUUUUAUAUUAAAUACUUCAUAAUAUUGCGUUGGAAAGAAAAUAACUACACACUCACUUGAUCAGAAGAUGAUCCGACAGCACUACGGCUUAUAGAAGUAGUAAUCCACAGCAGAUCUGGAAGAUCUCCUCGAAAAUCGAACUUCUCGCGGGCAGAGCUUCGACUCGGGAACCGCGCUUCUCGGGAUCUUCGGGAUCUCGGGACUUGCCUCGGGGCUAGAGUAUGAUACCGGGGCUUCGGGGUAGCUUCGGGGGUAAAAAUGCAGAGCUUCGACACGAAAACGAGAGGGAAUUGGCAAAAAUACCCGGAACCCUCGCAUCCUAUUUAUAGGAGGCUGGAGCCUCGGAGUACGCGGGGCGUACUGCGUUACGCGGGGCGUACUGCCCAAAACGUCAUUGCUUACGUAUCCGAAGUGCUCGAGUGCGAGUGUCGACAUCCCUCGGAGUACGCGGGGCGUACUCGAGUACGCGGGGCGUACCUCGGAUCAGAUCGGUGACUCCUUCGGAUAAUGCUUCCGAAUUUUGAUUUAAAUAUAAAUACAAAAUGAUUAAUAAACUUCGGAAAUUCAUAACUUCUUCAUACGAACUCCGUUUUCGACGUUCUUUAUAUCCACGGAAAGGUGAGACCAUGCUCUACGACUUUCGUUUAGACUCCGUCGGCUAAUUUUGACUUUAUUUUUAUUAAUUAUUUUUAAUAGGCCGCGACAGAAACUUUCGUUAUAAAUUCAUAACUUCUUCGUUUGACGUCCGUUCUCGCCUAACUUUUUAUCGCUUCGAUACCAACAAUGAGAUCUUCGAUUCUCAUUUAGAUUGCUUCGGCUAACAACCGCUCGAUCUCAAUUCGAGUAUUUCAGGCUGUAUACCGCUAAGCCGGAACUUCGAUAAAUCAUAACUUCCUCAUACGAAGUCAGAUUUGGGCGUUCUAUAUAUAUUCGGAAACCUCGUUUCGACUACUACAACAUUAACCAAAGAUAUUAAGUUUAUUUUACACUUAAAUUUUGACGCUUAUUUUUAUUCUUAAUUAAUCAGACCACAUAAUUAAGCAAUUAAGCACAAAACACAUAAUACUCAAAUAAUACAUUCUUAUUAUUUCAAAACGGGUUACAAAGGUUAACCUAGACUAUUAUAUUGCUAAAAAUGGCAAGCCCGGAAACACAGGCGUUACAAUUCUCUCCACCUUAGAAUGAUUCCGUCCCCGGAAUCACACAUCAACAAACAAAUGCGGAUAGCGACCCAUCAUGUCACUCUCCGUCUCCCAGGUGAGAUUCGGCCCAUUCGUGUGUUUCCAUCGGACAAGCACUAACCCAACCAUCUUGCGUCGCAAUUUCUUAGUCUUUCGGUCAACAAUUGCCUCUGGUUCUUCAAUCAACCUUUUGUUCUCAUCAAUUCUCAAUUCAGAAAUUGGAAUUAUGUCGGGAACUUCUCCCGUGAACUUCCUCAAAUAACACACAUGAAAAGUGUUGUGAAUUCCAUUCAGUUCUUCGGGUAAUUCGAGCUUGUAAGCUUGGUUCCCAAUCCUCUGAAGAACUUUAAACGGUCCAAUAAACCUUGGACUCAACUUUCCCCUUUUACCAAAUCUUAUAAGUCCCUUCCACGGCGAGACUUUAAGCAAAACCGAAUCUCCAACCUCAAAAGUCAUCGGUCUUCGCUUCUUGUCAGCAUAGCUCUUUUGACGAUCCUGAGCUGCUAACAUUCUUUCCCUAAUUAUUUUCAACUUUUCAGCAGUUUGAUGAACCAACUCCGGUCCCAUAAACUGCUUUUCCCCAGCCUCAAGCCAACAAGACGGCGUACGACACUUCUGUCCAUACAAAGCUUGGUAAGGUGCCAUCUUAAUGCUCGAGUGGAAACUAUUAUUAUAGGAAAAUUCUACCAACGGUAAAUGUUCAUCCCAAUUACCUAGGAAUUCCAGAGUACAUGCUCUCAGCAUAUCUUCAAGUGUUUGUAUCGUUCGUUCGCUCUGACCAUCAGUCUGCGGAUGGUAAGCUGUACUUAAACACAACUUGGUACCCAAUUCCUCUUGUAGACUUUUCCAAAACCUUGAGGUGAAACGGCUAUCACGAUCCGACACAAUCGUUAACGGAACACCGUGAAGCCUCACAAUUUCCUUCACGUAAGAAUUCGCAAGCUUUUCCAUAGACCAUUUCUCCCUGGCCGCUAUGAAAUGCGCACUCUUAGUGAAUCGAUCAACGACCACCCAAAUCAUGUCGUGACCAUUCUUUGUUCUGGGCAGUUUAGUGACAAAAUCCAUAGCAAUGUCUUCCCACUUACCCAUAGGCACAGGCAAUGGUUCUAAACUCCCGUAAGGUUUCUGAUGUUGUGUCUUGACUCUCGCACAAGUCACACACUCGGCCACAUACUUUGCAACAUCAAGCUUCAUCGUCGGCCACCAGUAGUAGGGUUUCAGGUCCCUAUACAUUUUAGUGCUACCGGGAUGAAUCGAGUACAUGGUUUUGUGAGCUUCUUCCAUCAGAAGAUCUCUGACUCCUCCUGUCUUAGGUAUCCAAAUCCGAUCUUGGAACACCUUCAGUCCGUGACUGUUUACACCGAACACCAACGUUUUGCCCAAACGUUCCUCCUUUCGGUCAUUUUUCUCAGAAGCUUCGCUUUGAGCUUUCUUUAUACUUUCCAAAAUAGUCGAGACAACUUCAAUUCUCAACGCUCUUGGCCUUUUCUUUUCAAGAUUGACCUUCCGACUGAGAGCAUCAGCAACAAUAUUGGCCUUACCGGGGUGGUAAAGUAUCUCACAGUCGUAGUCUUUAAGUAAUUCCAGCCAGCGUCGUUGCCUCAUAUUCAAUUCUUUCUGACUAAAGAGAUAUUGGAGACUCUUAUGAUCAGUGAAAAGUUUGCACUUCGUGCCAUAGAGGUAAUGCCUCCAUAUUUUCAGAGCGAAAACUACCGCUGCCAACUCCAAAUCAUGAGUCGGGUAGUUCUUUUCAUGCUCUUUCAGCUGUCGAGACGCAUAUGCGAUCACCUUAUCCCUUUGGGUCAAAACGCAACCCAAUCCAACCCCAGACGCAUCGCUAUAAACAGCGAAGUCUUCAACUCCAUCGGGUAGAGAAAGUAUCGGUGCCUCGCAUAGUUUCUUCUUUAGCUUCUCGAAUGCUUCUUUAUGCUUAUCACUCCAAGCAUAAGUAGCUCCUUUGUGGGUCAAAGCUGUUAAUGGACUAGCGAUCGAAGAAAAGCCUUGGAUAAACCUUCGGUAAUAUCCGGCUAAUCCUAAAAAGCUUCGGAUCUCCGUGGGACUUUUCGGUUGUUCCCACUUCAUCACAGCUUCGAUCUUCGCUGGAUCAACCAUUAUCCCUUCUUGGUUGACCACGUGACCCAAGAAUUGGACUUCACGAAUCCAGAAAUCACAUUUGGAGAACUUCGCAUACAACUUCUCCUUCUUCAAGACUUCUAACACUUCUCGCAAGUGUCUGCCAUGCUCCUCUUGGCUUUUUGAAUAAAUCAGAAUGUCAUCUAUGAACACUAUCACAGAUUUAUCAAGGAACGGAUUACAAACUCUGUUCAUUAAAUCCAUGAAUGCUGCUGGAGCAUUGGUUAGUCCAAACGACAUAACCAAGAACUCAUAGUGUCCAUAUCGCGUUCUGAAUGCAGUCUUCUCUAUAUCCUGCUCCCUUACUUUCAGCUGAUGAUAUCCUGACCUCAGGUCGAUCUUUGAAAAAUAACUUGAACCUUGUAGUUGAUCGAAUAGGUCAUCAAUCCUCGGCAACGGAUAUCUAUUCUUUAUUGUUGCCUUAUUCAGCUCUCGGUAAUCAAUGCACAUCCUCAUGCUUCCAUCUUUCUUCUUUACGAAUAACACCGGAGCUCCCCAGGGUGAUGAACUAGGUCUAAUGAAACCUUUGUCCAAUAACUCCUGAAGUUGCAUCAUUAGCUCCUUCAUCUCCGUCGGUGCUAAUCGAUAAGGUGCUUUUGCAAUUGGCGUUGUUCCGGGCAACAAGUCGAUACGAAAUUCUACUUGUCGAUCGGGCGGUAAUCCAGGAAGAUCUUCGGGAAAUACUUCCGGAUAAUCACACACAACAGGAAUAUUUUGCAUCACCUUCUUUUCCUUCUUAGCAUCGAUCACGAAUGCUAAGUAUGAUGUACACCCCUUGGUCAAACAUUUUCUGGCUUUCAUUAGAGAAAUGAUUCCAGAAUUUACUCUGCGUUUAUCUCCGUACACCAUAAACGAUUCCUUCCCAGGCGGGUUCACUUUCACUAUUUUCUUCUUGCAUAAAAUUUCGGCAUCAUUGGCGCUAAGCCAAUCCAUUCCCAAAACGAUGUCGAAACCGUUAAGUUCGAUAGGCAAUAAUUCCUCGUGGAACUUAUUUCCAUUCAGAUCAAUUAAGAUGUUUUUCAUACGAUGGCUAACAGGUACAAACUUGCCACUAGCAACUUCGACUAAUAAAGCAUUAUCUAGUCUAUCAACAGGCAAAGCUAGUUUUCUACCAAAUUCAUGCGAUAUAAAGGAGUAGUUGGCUCCAGAAUCAAAUAAAAUUUGGGCAGGCAAUUUGUUAACGAGAAAGGUACCUGAAGCGACAUCAGCUUCAUCUUUAGCAGCUUCCAGUGUCAUCUGGAAUGCUCUCGCCUUUGGCUUUGGCGGAAUGUUGGGUCUUGCUGCUUCCUUCUUUUUCGGACAAUCCCUUGAGAUGUGCCCCUCCUCACCACAACCAUAACAAACAUUUUUGGUGAAGGUGCAGUCAUUGGCAUAAUGCCCUAGCUUUCCACAUUUGAAGCAUGUGGUUUCCCCGCCACACUUCCCAUAAUGCUUCUUCUUGCACUUGUCACACCAUUUCGCUUCUACCUUUCCUCCACUUCCCCUCGAACUAGACUUCGAGAAUUUACUUUUCUUGCUGGACCCUGAAAAUCCAUCGAUUUUCCUUUUCUCGCCAACCUCUGACCUUUCCAGACCUUUUUCCCUGAUCUGGGUCUCAACAUUUCUAGCAGCCCAGAUGGCGGCUUUCAAUGUGGUUGCUUGCUUAACCAUUGGACCAUAGUCCGCUGGUAGUCCAAGGGCAAACUUGUUGACCUUAGAGAGUUCUGUAGGCACCAAAUAUGGGAUAAACUUCAUCUUUUCUGUGAAACUUGCAGCGUAUUCAGUAACGCUCAAUUUCCCUUUCUUCAAAUUCUGAAACUCAUUACUGAUUUCCAGAAGGUCCUGCUCGGAGCAGUAUUGCAUUUUUAGUUGUUCCACAAAGUCUUCCCAAGACAUUUUGCUUGCUUCUCCCUUGGGCAUAGAGUCAGCUAACAGCUUCCACCAACUCAACACGCCAGAUUUUAGCAGAGGGAUCGCAAGAGCGGUCUUCUGCCUGUUGCUGCAUUCGCAACUUUCAAACAUAGUCUCCAUUUCGGAGACCCAGUCCAUAACUUGCACCGGCGUCGGGCUUCCGGAUAGACAUGGUGGUUUGGAUGCCAUGAAAUCCUUAUACUUGCACCCACGACCAUCAUUUCCUCCAUACUGGUUAUUGCGUCUAACCACUGGUUGUUCGUCUUGACCAAUGAUCCCACUAAAGUUUUCUCCUUCAGACUGCCCUCCAUUCUCCUCGGGCUCUUCCGCUUGAAUUGACGGUUCUUCACGAUUCUGCCUAAGCAGGCGUCUUGUUUCUUCCAUCUGACGAUCCAACAUCAUUUGAAUCAUCAUUUGUACACCAGCCAUUGUUAUCGGCUCAGGUGCAUCAGCUACGACAGGUACUUGUUGAAUUACAGGCGGUUGAUUCCUGUUUUCAUCAGCAUUUCCAACUCCGCUUCUUGUUCUCACCAUUUUUGAUCUACACACCGAAUAAUUUCACCUUAUUACUCCAAACGAUUACAUGCUAGUUCUAAUAUCGUAUACAUACGCUUAGAAUCCUAAACACAUAAACCUUCAGAUCCGGUUGGCAACAAACCGUAGAUCCGAACAAAUAAUAUCAUAUAUGGCAACAUAUAACAUUUAGCACAUAAAAGCAUUUUAGGCAACUUUCCUAAAAUAAACUAGUGCUCGUGUCUAAAAUUUAUCAGACACACAUCUCACAAUCUCCACUUAGCAUACUAAGUUUAAGUCUAGAAAUCCUACAAAUUCCUAGUUCGCUUAAACUAAUGCUCUGAUACCAACUGUGACAUCCCCAAAAUCUCGGCCAGAAAAGACCGAUUUCAUUUAUGCUUUUUAAAACAUUUUCAGAGUAAAUCCGUUUGAUUUUAAAAGAGAUGCGGAAUUUGUUCCCAAAAACAAAACAUGAUAAAAUAGAUAUUUAUCAAAACAUUUCAUAUAGAAAUAUGAUUUCAUUUCAUAAUCAAAAGUCGGGAUGUCAUGUUCCGAUACAGAUCAUAAAGCAUAAACGAUAACAUUACAAGUCGUUCAACAAAUAUAUACAUAUACAGACUUGUAAACAAAAACAACUUGAUGAUUCGCCCAUCUUAAGCUCUUGCGCCACUUCCUGUAAUACAAAUCAACUGAGUGGGUCAGGCUUGGGAGCCUGGUGAGCAUAUAGGGUUUUCAAACCCACAAUAAUUAUAUUUAAUUUCAUCAAUCAACAAUAAACCCGAUUACCCAUUCCCGUUAUCCUCACCUUACGUUCCUAAAAAUAACGUCUAUUAUAAGGAACUUAUUUCAGGAUUUUCAUCGGGACGGACAUUACUGCAGAGGGGCUUCCUCAACAAUAAGUGUCCUAAAGGCAACCAUGUGGGGGAUAGAGUACACCGGUGAACACGUCGUUCACAACACCUACAGGUAAUGAGCCUGCUAGUGUUCCACAGGACAGUCUAGAAUAGUCCGUGGUCGUCAUCCAUACUCUGCUGAAUGACUAGAAUAACACCAAUAACACCGAGGCCUCUCAUCUGUUUAUUUCACACCAAUUAUCUACCCAUGUUCUACCCAACAUAUUAGUAGAUAAAAAUAUACAUUUUUAUACAUUGUUUAAAAACCU